Helianthus annuus (common sunflower) is the source of this 273-nucleotide long non-coding RNA. RefSeq lists it as uncharacterized. Lineage: Eukaryota; Viridiplantae; Streptophyta; Magnoliopsida; Asterales; Asteraceae. The record is from RefSeq and is a predicted model, not a curated record. The transcript is spliced from 3 exons.
CAACCCGUGUAUGGUGACAUAUAGCUGCCGUUCUGGUCAGUUUUUGGCUGAAGCCGUGAACACAUUUCGCUUAACUGAUCGUGCCUUGACCAGGUUCAUGUGCGGACACAAGUGAGAAAAAUGCAAUAUUUAACUAUAGGAGGAAGUAUCUACCCACUCAGCAGUGAAUGCCAACAACAAAUAUGUGAGAUUCUGAGAGCAACUCCUGAAGCUUCAUCUGCGGAUGCUGCUGUUCAAACUGCUACACUUGCAAACAAGAUUCCUUCAAAAGAC